GAUGAACGCUGGCGGCGUGCCUAAUACAUGCAAGUCGAGCGAACAGACGAGGAGCUUGCUCCUCUGACGUUAGCGGCGGACGGGUGAGUAACACGUGGAUAACCUACCUAUAAGACUGGGAUAACUUCGGGAAACCGGAGCUAAUACCGGAUAACAUGUUGAACCGCAUGGUUCAACAGUGAAAGACGGUUUUGCUGUCACUUAUAGAUGGAUCCGCGUCGCAUUAGCUAGUUGGUAAGGUAACGGCUUACCAAGGCAACGAUGCGUAGCCGACCUGAGAGGGUGAUCGGCCACACUGGAACUGAGACACGGUCCAGACUCCUACGGGAGGCAGCAGUAGGGAAUCUUCCGCAAUGGGCGAAAGCCUGACGGAGCAACGCCGCGUGAGUGAAGAAGGUCUUCGGAUCGUAAAAAUCUGUUAUUAGGGAAGAACAAAUGUGUAAGUAACUAUGCACGUCUUGACGGUACCUAAUCAGAAAGCCACGGCUAACUACGUG
Molecule: ribosomal RNA, 497 nt
Filed under: uncultured bacterium
Lineage: Bacteria
Description: partial 16S ribosomal RNA
Rfam family: Bacterial small subunit ribosomal RNA
Source: RNAcentral